AGCAGCCGCGGUAAUUCCAGCUCCAAUAGCGUAUAUUAAAGUUGUUGCAGUUAAAAAGCUCGUAGUUGAAUUUCGGGGUCAGUAGAUUGGUCAUGCCACUGGUAUGUACUGGUCUCACUGAUUCCUCCUUCCUGAUGAGCCGUAAUGCCAUUAAUUUGGUGUUGCGAGGAAUCUGGACUGUUACUUUGAAAAAAUUAGGGUGUUUAAAGCAGGCUAACGCUUGAAUACAUUAGCAUGGAAUAAUGAAAUAGGACGUUCGAUCUUAUUUUGUUGGUUUCUAAGAUUGACGUAAUGAUUAAUAGGGAUAGUUGGGGGUAUUAGUAUUCAAUUGUCAGAGGUGAAAUUCUUGGAUUUAUUGAAGACUAACUACUGCGAAAGCAUUUGCCAAGGAUGUUUUCAUUAAUCAAGAACGAAAGUUAGGGGAUCGAAGACGAUCAGAUACCGUCGUAGUCUUAACCAUAAACUAUGCCGACUAGGGAUCGGACGAAGUUAAUUUUAUAAUGACGCG
RNAcentral lists this ribosomal RNA (508 nucleotides) under uncultured Glomeraceae. RNAcentral's name for it is "SSU rRNA". It matches the Rfam family "Eukaryotic small subunit ribosomal RNA", at positions 569 to 1078 of the family's 1831-position model. The record is from RNAcentral. Lineage: Eukaryota; Fungi; Glomeromycota; Glomeromycetes; Glomerales; Glomeraceae.